This 491-nucleotide ribosomal RNA is filed under the name uncultured bacterium. RNAcentral's name for it is "bacterial SSU rRNA". It matches the Rfam family "Bacterial small subunit ribosomal RNA", at positions 28 to 523 of the family's 1533-position model. The record is from RNAcentral.
GAUAAACGCUGGCGGCACACAUAAGACAUGCAAGUCGAACGAACUUAACCUUAAUAUUUAUAUUGAGGAGCGGUUAGUGGCGGACUGGUGAGUAACACGUAAGCAAUCUACCUAUUAGAGGGGAAUAACAGUGAGAAAUCAUUGCUAAUACCACAUAUGCUCACACCAUCACAUGAUGGAGUGAGGAAAGGAGAAAUCCGCUAAUAGAUGAGCUUGCGCCUGAUUAGUGAGUUGGUGGGGUAAUGGCCUACCAAGACGACGAUCAGUAGCCGGACUGAGAGGUUGAACGGCCACAUUGGGACUGAGAUACGGCCCAGACUCCUACGGGAGGCAGCAGUCGGGAAUAUUGCACAAUGGGGGAAACCCUGAUGCAGCAACGCCGCGUGAAGGAAGAAGGUUCUCGGAUCGUAAACUUCUAUCAACGGGGAAGAAAAGAAUGACGGUACCCGAGUAAGAAGCCCCGGCUAACUACGUGCCAGCAGCCGCCGUAA